CGCAUGCGCGCCUCCCUCCGCCGGCAUGGGGGCGGGGCCUCCGUGGGGCGGCCACGCCCCCUCCGGUGCGGGUCCCGCCGCCGGUCCCACGAUUGUCGCACGAUUGUCCCAAAAUCUGCUCUUCCCACCGUUGUGCCAAAGGCCCAUCCACGCUCAGAGUCAAGGGGUUGGAUUUAUUUAUAGUUCUGCACAGAAAGAUGGCUGGGUGACAAAUCCACAAAGCCAGCACGACAGCUGUCAGAAGUUCUUCCUUUUUGUGGACUUUAUCAAACCAAAGAUUGCCCAGAGGCUGUGGAGUCUCCCUCACUGGAGAUAUCCCAGAACCAGCUGGACAUAAUCCUGCGCCUGUGCUCUGGGAUGACCCUGCAUGAGCUGGGAGGUUGGACCAGAUGCACCCUGCUCCCUGACAACCCUACCCAAUCUGUGAUUCUGUUCCUGCCUGAGGACAAGGCCACCAUGGUGCAGGGACCUUGGACACGAGGAGCACGGUUCACCCAGGUCUGUGUGCUGACCACGAGACCACCGUGCUGCCCCUCUCCCCUGAGAGCCCAGCCCCAGCUGGCCACUGGGAAGGGCUGUGCAAUGCCCGGGCACGGGCAGGAGCUCUGCCAGGGUCAGGCACCUUCCGAGGAGGAGCUGGAUCCGGCAGGGCAGGCAGCAGGUGACGGCUCAGGAGCAGGCUGGGAAGCGACAUUGAGGUCCAAGCCGUGUCAUUGCCACGGGUUCAAUUAAAAAUGCACGCUGAGGCUGAGCUAAAAGCUCAGGCACACAACAAGAGAUGAGAUUUAGCUGCGAUUACUGGCAGCAGUCACAUCAUGAAAAUAUCCCAAAGGCAGGCUUUGGAGUCGUGCAGCGAUAAAAGUUAUCCUCUCUGUUCCAGCAGACACUGGCCUCGCUCAGCGUGAAAAGCAAAACAAAGGGAGCUGUGAACACCCUGCAGGCUGACGGAGACUAACGAUCUGGAGGAUUAUCAAAGCUUCUUGGCCAGAGCUCUCAAUAAGUGUAAAAAAUUACAGCAGACUGACCUAUAACUCUGGAAACAAGUAACGGUUUUGAAUUGGCAGAAGGCAGAGACGGCUUCUCCUCCGUGCUACAGUUAGAUCACAACCUCUGGGAAAGCCUUGCCAUCAUUUCUGUCUAGUUGGGAGCCUGGGAGUUAUUGACAUAAUUAUGCCAAUUAGCAGCAUGAUUAUUUCUUUCCCCACUCCUGGGUGAGCAAGCUGUGCCAGGAGGCACUGGAGUAGCUGCCUGGCCUUCCUCCAGCUCGUGGGUUUCUAUGGAGGCUGGAAGUUGGGAAGAACAUUAUGAGUGUCCAGAGCACUUUGUGCUGCCCCCAUGAAAUAAUUAAGAUCCGUGGAAGAGCAGCCUGGCCGUAGGAUUGUGUCUCUACAGGAGACAAAUGAAGAUUGAGAAAGGCACCAUGCCUGGGGAGCAGCACCAUGCACACCUUCAGAUUGAUAAUCCAGGGAAUUGUCCUUUCUGUGAGGUCUUUAAAUUACAGCUUUGUCUGCUUCCAUGAUCAAAAUAAAAUAAAUUAGAAAAAUAACUAAGAUUAAGAAAAGUUUGAGUUAUUCCUGCAAGUCUGGAAGUUUCCAAACCAAAUGUUUUGUCUGGUGAAGCAGAGUUAAAGCC
Molecule: non-coding RNA, 1632 nt
Organism: Taeniopygia guttata (zebra finch)
Lineage: Eukaryota; Metazoa; Chordata; Aves; Passeriformes; Estrildidae
Source: RefSeq, a predicted model, not a curated record